This is a long non-coding RNA of Oreochromis aureus, 1533 nucleotides long. Lineage: Eukaryota; Metazoa; Chordata; Actinopteri; Cichliformes; Cichlidae. The record is from Ensembl.
UUUAAAUCCUGCCUGUGUUCGUGCAAAUGAUUCACACUGAAAGUAUCUUAGUUUAGUAUUAAGUGAGCCACAAAGCAGCCUAAUAGCUUUAAAAAAACAGUAAAAGUAAGUGAAAUUGCCAGUUUCAGUGUAAUUCAGACUAAAGUCCAGCUGCAGAUAAGGAAUACCACUAAGUCAACAGUGUCUGAGUGAGUACUUCUCUGGUUAAAGUCCCUGUUUUCUUUCACCGUAUGUUUGUUUGUUUUUUAGAUUUGGAGUCUGUGGUUGGGUAGAUUUAAGAUGAGUCAUUGUUUUUCUAUCCAUGGUAGCUUCCACUACUGAGGCUCAGGAAAAAUGAAGAGGAUAAUUAAGAGGAACCAUCAGUUCUGUCUCAUCUAACUACACAGUAUUUAUAAUCAUGCACUUAUGUCUCAAACUAAGACAAAAUGAGACAAAAUUAGUUAUGUGAGUCUUUAGAUUAUCAGUAAAUUCUGGUGAUAGUUUCACACUCAGUGCAGCCAUUUUUGGUUUGUGAUGAGUGUUUUGUGAUGCUCAGCUUCUGUUUUGUGAAUUGCUCUUUCUAAUUUAGAAGAUCCUGCAGAAAUGUGUGCGCCCUUAUCUGAGAGGACAUGGAGAGAGUGUCGCAAACUCGAGUUGACAGGUAACCCUACUGGAGUCGCCAAUAGUAACCGGUGGCUUCUCAGCUUCAGUGUGUUGAUGGGCACAGCCAUUGUUACCACAGCUGGAGUUGGUAUACGCGGAGCUGUGAGAGGACAGAGAUGGCGAACGGACAUUUAACUAUUUAACAGGAGAUACGUUAUGACUAAUAGACGACUACUGUUUAAAUGAUGUCUUUGCAGCCCUUAUGGCACACGUUACACAACUUUUCUUCAUGCCAGCAAGACUGAGGUGCCCACAUAGUUGACACAUACAACUGAUUAUGAAUGCAUAUUUUACUAUUCCUAUUUUCACAUCAUCUCCUUGGCUUUAUUAGUGAAAGCCUGGAGAUACUCUGACUUGUGCAUGGCUGAUGUGAAGUAUGAUUAGUACUACAUGACUUACACCAUCAACAACAGAGGCAAUGAAAGCUUUGUUGUUAACAGGUUGGAUGGUAAAGUCAAAUUUCUAAUUCUACACUUGUGUUCGGUAAAGUUAUUCUCACUGCAGCAGAUUUAUAUCUGUGGUUUCACAGGGCGUGAUGUGGACCUCAGCGCUGAGGUGCAGGAGAAUUUCAUUCAGUUCUCCCUACAAACCAGCAUCCAGCCUGAAAAUAUUGUCAUCUUUCCCAAAAAUGGUCCUCUUAUCUCAGAGAAGACGUUUGAUGUAAAAUAACUGCAAUCAACAGUGAUGUUAUGCACAGAUCACUUUUCCAUUUUCCUCUCUCUGGAUGAGUGCCCAGCUGCCUAACCUUGUGUCCAGGUGAUCAUCCUACUGAGGGGCUUUUACUGUUCUGAAAAUCUCACGUCCAUGACCUGUUUCCUUUUUACUUUACUAUCUCUGCUCUUUCUUUAUUAAGAAUGCUCAUAAUGUCACAAAAUUAUAUUCAUCACUUGC